Molecule: long non-coding RNA, 375 nt
Filed under: Setaria viridis
Lineage: Eukaryota; Viridiplantae; Streptophyta; Magnoliopsida; Poales; Poaceae
Source: RNAcentral
UUACAAUAGAGUUUCAUAUUGUGAUAUGUUUACAUGAUUACUCUCUAGAUAGAAAUGUCGCUAAAGCUUUUGCCCCUGCUAAGAUCCAUGUACCUCCUGGGAAGUCCCAUAAGAACUCCGAGGUUAAGCGUGCUUGGGCAAGAGUAGUACUAGGAUGGGUGACCUCCUGGGAAGUCCUCGUGUUGCAUUCCUUUCUUCAUCUUUAUCAACGCAAUGAGCACAACCAUGGGUCGAUUCAAUAAAGAAAAAGGAAACUGUACAAGGAACUGCAGUGCGAUAUUUGUUCUGAGCAGUUUGGAUAAGAGUUUGGCUAUUAGGAUUUGAUAAAUUUGAGGCUUCAAUUUGCAAGCUCGAGGUCAUCCUGAAGGCUGAAGC